Molecule: ribosomal RNA, 254 nt
Filed under: uncultured bacterium
Lineage: Bacteria
Description: partial 16S ribosomal RNA
Rfam family: Bacterial small subunit ribosomal RNA
Source: RNAcentral
UACGAACUGUGCGAACGUUAUUCGGAAUCACUGGGCUUACAGGGUGCGUAGGCGGCUUAGCAAGUCAGGUGUGAAAGCCCCCGGCUCAACCGGGGGAACUGCGCUUGAAACUGCUGAGCUCGAGUCAGCUAGAGGUCACGGAACUUCCAGUGGAGCGGUGAAAUGUGUUGAUAUUGGAAGGAACACCGGAGGCGAAAGCGGUGUACUGGGGCUGGUCUGACGCUGAGGCACGAAAGCCAGGGGAGCGAACGGGG